GAUGAAGAACGCAGCGAAAUGCGAUACUUGGUGUGAAUUGCAGAAUCCCGUGAACCAUUGAGUUUUUGAACGCAAGUUGCGCCCGAAGCCGUUAGGCCGAGGGCACGCCUGCCUGGGCGUCACACGUCGUUGCCCCCCCAUCUACUCCUUCGGGAUUGCGGGGGGCGGAUGAUGGCCUCCCGUGCGCCUCGUCGCGCGGUUGGCAUAAAUGCCAAGUCCUCGGCGACGCACGCCACGACAAUCGGUGGUUGCGAAACCUCGGUUGCCCGUCGUGUGCGGUCGUCGCGCAUCGAGGGCUCGAAAAAAUUGCCGGGCUCCGGCUCGACUUUCAACGCGACCCCAGGUCAGGCGGGGUUACCCGCUGAAUUUAAGCAUAUCAAUAAGCGGAGGA
RNAcentral lists this unclassified non-coding RNA (391 nucleotides) under soil metagenome. Its description in RNAcentral is "partial contains 5.8S ribosomal RNA, internal transcribed spacer 2, and large subunit ribosomal RNA". The stretch from base 1 to 122 matches the Rfam family "5.8S ribosomal RNA", at positions 35 to 154 of the family's 154-position model. The record is from RNAcentral.